This 269-nucleotide unclassified non-coding RNA is filed under the name Bossiaea ensata. Its description in RNAcentral is "partial miscellaneous RNA". Lineage: Eukaryota; Viridiplantae; Streptophyta; Magnoliopsida; Fabales; Fabaceae. The record is from RNAcentral.
UGCGGUUGAGGCUCCGCUAUWAAUGGAUAAUAUUUUCGUCUUAAAGUAUACGAGUUUUUGAAAGUAAAAGAGCAAUAUCAACAAAGUUGAUAUUGCUCUUUUACUUUCAGUAGUCUUUUUUUAUACAUAUUUCUAAAUAAAUUGUUGAUUUACUGUGACGAACAAUAACGAAAGAGCAGAAAUCGAAGUCUAGAUUCUUUUUCCAUAAGAAUGGAGGAUAGGGGCGGAUGUAGCCAAGUGGAUCAAGGCAGUGGAUUGUGAAUCCACCA